Molecule: ribosomal RNA, 250 nt
Filed under: uncultured bacterium
Lineage: Bacteria
Description: partial 16S ribosomal RNA
Rfam family: Bacterial small subunit ribosomal RNA
Source: RNAcentral
ACGUAUGUCACGAGCGUUAUCCGGAUUUAUUGGGCGUAAAGCGCGUCUAGGUGGUUAUGUAAGUCUGAUGUGAAAAUGCAGGGCUCAACUCUGUAUUGCGUUGGAAACUGUGUAACUAGAGUACUGGAGAGGUAAGCGGAACUACAAGUGUAGAGGUGAAAUUCGUAGAUAUUUGUAGGAAUGCCGAUGGGGAAGCCAGCUUACUGGACAGAUACUGACGCUGAAGCGCGAAAGCGUGGGUAGCAAACAG